Molecule: long non-coding RNA, 1297 nt
Organism: Gasterosteus aculeatus aculeatus (three-spined stickleback)
Lineage: Eukaryota; Metazoa; Chordata; Actinopteri; Perciformes; Gasterosteidae
Source: Ensembl
CACAGGUAGACACACAGGUAGACACACAGGUAGACACACAGGUGAGCACACAGGUAGACACACAGGUAGACACACAGGUGAGCACACAGGUAGACACACAGGUAGACACACAGGUAGACACACAGGUGAGCUCCACAGGGCCCGCAGUGGAAAAGACACUGGCUUAAAUGAGUAUACUAGAAGCUAGAUGGCUAGUUAGCUGCUGAAGCUACACGAGUGGUAAGCUGUUAGUUGCUGUGAGGACGGACUCAUCAGUAGCUGAUUUUAACUGCCUGGCUUCUUCUGCACGCUCACAUUUGCUUUGCAGCAUCGACCAGAAAGAAGGCUCCCCGUGUCUUCGGCCAUGGCCUCCGAUAGCCCCUCCUCCCAAGCAGCUUCCACCUACCUGACCGCGCACACCAACGAGAUGGUGGAGCUGCAGCACCUGAACGGCCGCUUAACCAGCUACAUCGAGAGGUUGCACUUCCUGGAGCAGCAGAACCAGACGCUGGCGGCGGAGGUGAAGCGGCUGCGAGGCCGUAAGCUCACGCGCUUUGAAAGGCUCAUGGAGCAGACUCCCCAGAAGGAGGACGUGGAGAGCAACCUGGCUGCUUCCGGGGGGGUGACGCCUGUGUAGCGUGUCUCCACCCACAGCUUCUCCACAACGCAGAAGAAGCUCCUCCUGACGUUUCUCGUAUGUCUUCCUUCAUGUGCAGAGCUGCUGACCGUUAAAAGCAAUGUGGACGCCUCUGACCCGUUUGUCUUACUAUGCUAAAAAUCACAGCUCAACAUUGUUAAGGAACAACAAGGCAGCUCGCUGAGGUAGAGUGAAGAAAAGAGGAUGUCUUCAGAGAUACAGAACAGCGGAGCGAAGUGAAUGACCAGCGAGAGAAGAGGCCUAAGGGGCACGUGUGAGGGAGUAACGCUGUACAUCAGUAACAACGUUGUAUCUUUACCGUGAAGGACAUGAGUGAGUCUCUGUACCUGCAACAUCUGCUCCACCGUCAGCUUCAUCAACGGGUCGACAUCAUGUGAGGAGGAGCAGAGAGAAGAAGAGACGACGAGGGACAAGAACAUAGAGACUCUUCUGGGUUAAAGCGUGAGCAGCAGAGUGAUGCUGUUAUUCACUCUAUUGGGAUGUAUUUAUCUGUGGUUUAAUGUAUAUAUAUUAUAUUAUAUUUCCGAGAAUAACUGAGACGGACUUGAUUUGUUUUUUGUAUCAAUUCACAAUAAAAUGAACAUAAUUGCAUCAGAGAGGCUGCUGACAAAUAAAAGAAUUUUCCAAUGGCCUAAAAAAUAAAACACUGCAUGAACUUCC